ACGUAGGGUGCAAGCGUUAAUCGGAAUUACUGGGCGUAAAGCGUGCGCAGGCGGUUCGGAAAGAGAGGUGUGAAAUCCCAGGGCUUAACCUUGGAACUGCACUUUUAACUACCGGGCUAGAGUACGUCAGAGGGGGGUAGAAUUCCACGUGUAGCAGUGAAAUGCGUAGAGAUCGAGAGGAACACCAGUGGCGAAGGCGAGUCCCUGGACAACACCUGACACUGAGGCACGAAAGCUAGGGGAGCAAACAGGA
RNAcentral lists this ribosomal RNA (253 nucleotides) under uncultured prokaryote. RNAcentral describes it as "partial 16S ribosomal RNA". It matches the Rfam family "Bacterial small subunit ribosomal RNA", at positions 525 to 777 of the family's 1533-position model. The record is from RNAcentral.